CCUACGGGAGGCAGCAGUGGGGAAUAUUGGGCAAUGGAGGCAACUCUGACCCAGCAAUGCCGCGUGAGUGAUGAAGGUAAUUUUAUUGUAAAGCUCUUUUCUUUGGAACGAAUAAAUGACGGUACCAACGGAAUAAGCUCCGGCUAACUACGUGCCAGCAGCCGCGGUAAUACGUGGGGGGCAAGCGUUGUUCGGAAUGACUGGGCGUAAAGGGUGUGUAGGUGGUUUGAUAAGUUAGAUGUGUAAUACCCAGGGCUUAACUCGGGUGCUGCAUCUAAUACUGGUAGACUUGAGUACUGGAGAGGAUAGUGGAAUUCCUAGUGUAGCGGUGGAAUGCGUAGAUAUUAGGAGGAACAUCAGUGGCGAAGGCGACUAUCUGGACAGCAACUGACACUGAGGCACGAAAGCGUGGGGAGCAAACAGGAUUAGAUACCCCAGUAGUC
Molecule: ribosomal RNA, 443 nt
Filed under: uncultured bacterium
Lineage: Bacteria
Description: partial 16S ribosomal RNA
Rfam family: Bacterial small subunit ribosomal RNA
Source: RNAcentral